AACGCUAGCUACAGGCUUAACACAUGCAAGUCGAGGGGCAUCAGGGUAGCAAUACCGCUGGCGACCGGCGCACGGGUGAGUAACACGUAUCCAACCUACCGUUAACUCGGGGAUAGCCUUUCGAAAGAAAGAUUAAUACCCGAUAGUAUAUUGUCUUCGCAUGUUGAAAAUAUUAAAGAAUUUCGGUUAUCGAUGGGGAUGCGUUCCAUUAGGCAGUUGGCGGGGUAACGGCCCACCAAACCUACGAUGGAUAGGGGUUCUGAGAGGAAGGUCCCCCACAUUGGAACUGAGACACGGUCCAAACUCCUACGGGAGGCAGCAGUGAGGAAUAUUGGUCAAUGGACGCGAGUCUGAACCAGCCAAGUAGCGUGAAGGAUGACUGCCCUAUGGGUUGUAAACUUCUUUUAUAUGGGAAUAAAGUUCUCCACGUGUGGAGUUUUGUAUGUACCAUUAUGAAUAAGCAUCGGCUAACUCCGUGCCAGCAGCCGCGGUAAUACGGAGGAUGCGAGCGUUAUCCGGAUUUAUUGGGUUUAAAGGGAUCGUAGGUGGACUGGUAAGUCAGUUGUGAAAGUUUGCGGCUCAACCGUAAAAUUGCAGUUGAUACUGUCAGUCUUGAGUACAGUAGAGGUGGGCGGAAUUCGUGGUGUAGCGGUGAAAUGCUUAGAUAUCACGAAGAACUCCGAUUG
This 686-nucleotide ribosomal RNA is filed under the name uncultured bacterium. RNAcentral's name for it is "bacterial SSU rRNA". It matches the Rfam family "Bacterial small subunit ribosomal RNA", at positions 32 to 715 of the family's 1533-position model. The record is from RNAcentral.